RNAcentral lists this ribosomal RNA (311 nucleotides) under uncultured eukaryote. Its description in RNAcentral is "partial 18S ribosomal RNA". It matches the Rfam family "Eukaryotic small subunit ribosomal RNA", at positions 1470 to 1796 of the family's 1831-position model. The record is from RNAcentral.
CCCCUAGACGUUCUGGGCUGCACGCGCGCUACAAUAAUACGCACAGCGAGUAUCACCGAGCUCGAAAGGGCAAGGUAAACAAUAGAAAAGGUACUGUAAUGGUUAUAGAUCCUUGUAAUUAUUGAUCUUCAACGAGGAAUUCCUAGUAAGUAUGUGUCAUCAUCACGCACUGAUUACGUCCCUGCCCUUUGUACACACCGCCCGUCGCUCCUACCGAUUGGGUGAGCCGAUGAAACUCUCGGAUGUAGGCUAUUCAUAGCCCGCAGAAGAGAUUUGAACCGUAGCGCUUAGAGGAAGGAGAAGUCGUAACA